GAGUGGCGGACGGGUGAGUAACGCGUGGGUAACCUGCCCUGUACAGGGGGAGUAACAGUUGAAAACGGCUGCUAAUACCGCAUAAGCGCACAGUACCGCAUGGUACCGUGUGAAAAACUACCGGUGGUAUGAGAUGGACCCGCGUCUGAUUAGCUAGUUGGUGGGGUAACGGCCUACCAAGGCGACGAUCAGUAGCCGACCUGAGAGGGUGACCGGCCACAUUGGGACUGAGACACGGCCCAAACUCCUACGGGAGGCAGCAUG
RNAcentral lists this ribosomal RNA (264 nucleotides) under uncultured bacterium. RNAcentral describes it as "partial 16S ribosomal RNA". It matches the Rfam family "Bacterial small subunit ribosomal RNA", at positions 93 to 353 of the family's 1533-position model. The record is from RNAcentral.